CAUUCAGCAGCUACCAUGAAUUGGGUCAGACAGGCUCCUGGAAAAGGACUGGAAUGGAUCGCUUUUGUACACACAGGCAGUUCUCAUUUCUAUUACUCCCAGUCAGUCCAGGGGAGAUUCACCAUCUCCAGAGAUGACUCCAGCAGUAAAGUCUAUCUGCAGAUGAACAGUCUGAAGACCGAGGACACAGCAGUGUAUUACUGUGCCCGAGAGACACACUACACUGCUUUUGACUACUGGGGAAAGGGUACAACAGUAACUGUUUCAUCAGCCACUCCAACUGCACCAACUGUGUAUCCUCUGAUGCAAUGUGGUUCUGGGACCGGAGACAUGGUCACUCUUGGCUGCCUUGCCACUGGCUUCACACCCUCCUCACUGACCUACACAUGGAACAAAGCGAAUGGGGCUGCCUUGACAGACUUCAUUCAGUACCCUCCGGUGCAGAAAGGCAACGUUUAUACUGGAGUCAGUCAAAUCCGAGUGAGGAGAGAGGACUGGGACGCAAGGGAGACUUUCAAAUGUGCCGUGGAACAUGCAUCAGGACAGCCAAAAGAGUGUAUUUUCCAAAAGCCACACGAGUCUUGUUAUCCGCCAACCCUUAGUAUGUUGGCCUCCUCUGAGGAGGGAACCGAGGCUUUCUUCUCCUGCUUUGCCAAAGAUUUUUCACCAAAAGAUUAUGAGAUCAAAUGGCUGAAAAAUGAAGUGGAAAUUGUCAGCAAAAUAGAUGAGAUCAAAACACAUGAGGGAAGAAAGGACAUUAAUGGAACGUCACUGUACAGCGCAGCAAGUUUUCUCACUGUUAAAUCCGAUGAGCUGGAGGAAAACACUGAGGUUAUGUGCAAGUUUAAAGGGAAACGUCAAACGUGUCCAACGGAGGUUAAUUCAACUGUGCUCUACCAACCAUCCCGUCCAAUUGGAGGUGAAGUAUGUCUUGAAGCAGAUGUGGAGGUAGAUAUCAUAGAACCCACAAUGGAGGACAUGUUUUCACAUGAUGGAAAAGGAAACAUAACAUGUCAGGUCAAGAUUAACAAACCAUCCGUCAGUGAAAUUUCAUGGGAGACCCACAAUGGACGCACAAUACUUCAUCCUUCAGUAGUACCCCCUAAAGGAAGUAAAGGCUUAUUUAGAGCUUCACUUCCCAUCACGUAUGAUGAAUGGAGCCAGGGGACAAAGUUUGUGUGCAAAGUGGAACAUAGUGAGUGGAUUGAACCACUUAAGAAAACUUACGGAAGGAUUGUAGGAGGACAGAUUCAGCGUCCUUCAGUGUUUAUGCUACCUCCACUAGAACAUACUAACAAGGAAAUGGUGACCCUGACUUGCUAUGUGAAAGACUUCUUCCCUCGGGAGGUUUUCGUUUCUUGGCUUGUUGAUGACGAGGAAGCAGGCUCAGAAUAUAAGUUCCAUACCACAAACCCUGUAGAAAACCAUGGAUCCUAUUCUGCUUAUGGCCAGUUAAUUCUCACCCUUGAUCAGUGGAAAAAAGAUGACACGGUGUAUAGCUGUGUAGUUCACCAUGAGUCUGUAGUUAACACAACUAAAGCCAUUGUCAGGUCCAUCGGGCACAGAACAUUUGAAAAAACCAACAUGGUCAACCUCAACAUGAACAUCCCUGAAACAUGCAAGGCCUAGUAGAUGUUAUUCUGUGUCGCUGUGUCUUCUGUUGUUUGGUGUUUAAUGUUUGUUGCUUGUGAUUUGACAUUGUGUUUGUCUUUUUAAUGCAUAUU
Non-coding RNA from Etheostoma spectabile (orangethroat darter), 1724 nucleotides. Lineage: Eukaryota; Metazoa; Chordata; Actinopteri; Perciformes; Percidae. The record is from the annotation of a RefSeq genome assembly.